Long non-coding RNA from Rhipicephalus sanguineus (brown dog tick), 688 nucleotides. RefSeq lists it as uncharacterized. The record is from RefSeq and is a predicted model, not a curated record. Lineage: Eukaryota; Metazoa; Arthropoda; Arachnida; Ixodida; Ixodidae. The transcript has 5 exons.
GCAAACGUGAAACUCCCGAAAGUCAGCCCGUCGGAGAGCGUGUUUCGCGUCUUUUCUAGCCUGGACAUUUUCGCUGAUUUUAUUGGAACAUCAAGAACAUCUUGCUCAUGCAAGUUCACAACGUCUACAGUACGUGCUGAGUGGGCUGCGGAAGCAACCUCGUCAGUGGGUGUAACAACACUUCUGAGGCAACUGCAGGCCUUGAAGAUUUUCCACUUCUCAUCUAUUGUAUCGACAAUUAAUUGCAAGAACCUGACUGGCCCAAUGAUGGUACAAGGGAACCGAAGAAAAAAAGCCCACCUGCCAAGUCAAUCAUUACUCAACCAUUUGUAUCAAGCAAACCAUCAAGUUUCAACCAAAUUUCAUUUCAGCUGCCUCAACAAUCAAUAGGACAUGAAGCAGAGUCAGUGCCUCCCCACAUCUACCACAGAUCGGAGGUUCACUACCAGACAAGAGGGUCAGCCAUGGAUGAGUUGGCAAGAUCUUUACAGAUGGAUGUGGCCAACUAGUCAGCCAGUACAUUGCCUCGGUGUCUCUGUGCCCUAGCAACCAGCUUACGACGACCUGCUGCUUGGAGAUGCAAGUGGUGCAAAAAAUGAAAUAAAGCGAUGCAAUUGCAGGAUUUUUGUGCUUUUUCAAGUGAUUUCAAGACUUUUACAAUGCUUAGAGAGUCUGUGUAUAUAACUGU